UACAGAGGAUGCAAGCGUUAUCCGGAAUCACUGGGCAUAAAGCGUCUGUAGGUUGUUUAGUAAGUCUGCUGUUAAAGACUGGGGCUUAACCCCAGAAAAGCAGUGGAAACUGCUAGACUCGAGUGUGGUAGAGGUAGAGGGAAUUCCUAGUGUAGCGGUGAAAUGCGUAGAUAUUAGGAAGAACACCAAUGGCGAAGGCACUCUACUGGGCCAUAACUGACACUGAGAGACGACAGCUAGGGGAGCAAACGGG
This 253-nucleotide ribosomal RNA is filed under the name uncultured bacterium. RNAcentral describes it as "partial 16S ribosomal RNA". It matches the Rfam family "Bacterial small subunit ribosomal RNA", at positions 524 to 776 of the family's 1533-position model. The record is from RNAcentral.